Molecule: ribosomal RNA, 195 nt
Filed under: uncultured bacterium
Lineage: Bacteria
Description: partial 16S ribosomal RNA
Rfam family: Bacterial small subunit ribosomal RNA
Source: RNAcentral
GAAACUCGCCUACAUGAAGCUGGAGUUACUAGUAAUCGCAGAUCAGAAUGCUGCGGUGAAUGCGUUCCCGGGUCUUGUACACACCGCCCGUCACACCACGGAAGUUGGGGCGCCCGAAGCCACUUAGCUAACCCAUUUGGGAAGCGAGUGUCGAAGGUGAAAUCAAUAACUGGGGUGAAGUCGUAACAAGGUAGC